Molecule: long non-coding RNA, 718 nt
Filed under: Eptatretus burgeri (inshore hagfish)
Lineage: Eukaryota; Metazoa; Chordata; Myxini; Myxiniformes; Myxinidae
Description: lncRNA (ENSEBUG00000017527.1)
Source: RNAcentral
GGGGGGGGGGGGGGGGGGGGGGGGGGGGGGGGGGGGGGGGGGGGGGGGGAGAUCGGCGAUCUCGCAUCGUCGACGUGGCGCGGAGCCGGAGCGCGCUGAGGAGAACCGCGCACGUGGUGACUUGGGCGGGACCUGGAGUACUGCGCCGCCAUUUCUUGCCGCGCGGGACGUUCGAGCGGGAGUUCGAACCCGUGGAAACCCGCUGGUUUUUACGGGCGACCUUCGUGCUUUUGGGACACGGUCCUCUCGUCCAUGAGCCAUCACCAGGCACAGCCCCCGCUUCAUUCUGAAGCUGUUCCAAAUGAUCCUCUGCCAAUGCCUGAAAUGAAAGGCAAAGCUGAGAGCAGCAUGCAUGAAACAUCGAAGGGCAGAGGAAACUCUUUGUUCAGAAGCGUUAUCAGUAGCUUCAGACAGAGCAACAGGAGGAGCAGUCUUCCCAGCAUAUUCAGAAGACUCCAGUUAGCAAGAACCCGUUCAAGCACUUCAGCAGUAGAAAUGGCAGAUGGAGGUGCCACCCAGAUGCUCUGAGGAUUUGAUCAGGAUUCUGCUGCUAUAUGUGAGACCAUGAGAUGAGCCAUUGGAGACAUAAAUUGAACCCUCCGCAUGCAGUUUGUUUAAGGAAAGAUUACAUUGUGUCGCCAAAUCUCCAGUGUUCGGUUCCCAUCUCUCAACAAAGCUGCGAGACUAAUCCUUUCCAUGUAACAGCAUGGAGGUUGGG